GACGAACGCUGGCGGCGUGCCUAAUACAUGCAAGUAGAACGCUGAAGAGAGGAGCUUGCUCUUCUUGGAUGAGUUGCGAACGGGUGAGUAACGCGUAGGUAACCUGCCUUGUAGCGGGGGAUAACUAUUGGAAACGAUAGCUAAUACCGCAUAACAAUGGAUGACACAUGUCAUUUAUUUGGAAGGGGCAAUUGCUCCACUACAAGAUGGACCUGCGUUGUAUUAGCUAGUAGGUGAGGUAACGGCUCACCUAGGCGACGAUACAUAGCCGACCUGAGAGGGUGAUCGGCCACACUGGGACUGAGACACGGCCCAGACUCCUACGGGAGGCAGCAGUAGGGAAUCUUCGGCAAUGGGGGCAACCCUGACCGAGCAACGCCGCGUGAGUGAAGAAGGUUUUCGGAUCGUAAAGCUCUGUUGUAAGUCAAGAACGAGUGUGAGAGUGGAAAAUUCACACUGUGACGGUAGCUUACCAGAAAGGGACGGCUAACUACGUGCCAGCAGCCGCGGUAAUACGUAGGUCCCGAGCGUUGUCCGGAUUUAUUGGGCGUAAAGCGAGCGCAGGCGGUUUGAUAAGUCUGAAGUUAAAGGCUGUGGCUCAACCAUAGUUCGCUUUGGAAACUGUCAAACUUGAGUGCAGAAGGGGAGAGUGGAAUUCCAUGUGUAGCGGUGAAAUGCGUAGAUAUAUGGAGGAACACCGGUGGCGAAAGCGGCUCUCUGGUCUGUAACUGACGCUGAGGCUCGAAAGCGUGGGGAGCGAACAGGAUUAGAUACCCUGGUAGUCCACGCCGUAAACGAUGAGUGCUAGGUGUUGGAUCCUUUCCGGGAUUCAGUGCCGCAGCUAACGCAUUAAGCACUCCGCCUGGGGAGUACGACCGCAAGGUUGAAACUCAAAGGAAUUGACGGGGGCCCGCACAAGCGGUGGAGCAUGUGGUUUAAUUCGAAGCAACGCGAAGAACCUUACCAGGUCUUGACAUCCCGAUGCUAUUUCUAGAGAUAGAAAGUUACUUCGGUACAUCGGUGACAGGUGGUGCAUGGUUGUCGUCAGCUCGUGUCGUGAGAUGUUGGGUUAAGUCCCGCAACGAGCGCAACCCCUAUUGUUAGUUGCCAUCAUUCAGUUGGGCACUCUAGCGAGACUGCCGGUAAUAAACCGGAGGAAGGUGGGGAUGACGUCAAAUCAUCAUGCCCCUUAUGACCUGGGCUACACACGUGCUACAAUGGUUGGUACAACGAGUUGCGAGUCGGUGACGGCAAGCUAAUCUCUUAAAGCCAAUCUCAGUUCGGAUUGUAGGCUGCAACUCGCCUACAUGAAGUCGGAAUCGCUAGUAAUCGCGGAUCAGCACGCCGCGGUGAAUACGUUCCCGGGCCU
This 1369-nucleotide ribosomal RNA is filed under the name uncultured bacterium. Its description in RNAcentral is "bacterial SSU rRNA". It matches the Rfam family "Bacterial small subunit ribosomal RNA", at positions 28 to 1381 of the family's 1533-position model. The record is from RNAcentral.